AUCAAGAUGAUGAAAUCAGAAAAAAUCUUAGGACACCUUCUGACACAGUGAAACCUACUGUGUAUGAGAAUGAUUCAGUUAAUCAGUUCUGAU
The sequence is a small nucleolar RNA, 93 nucleotides long. It matches the Rfam family "Small nucleolar RNA snoR31/Z110/Z27". From Rfam's summary of the family: This family contains several related snoRNAs including R31, Z27 and Z110. Family members belong to the C/D class of snoRNAs which contain the C (UGAUGA) and D (CUGA) box motifs. The record is from Rfam.